RNAcentral lists this ribosomal RNA (253 nucleotides) under uncultured prokaryote. Its description in RNAcentral is "partial 16S ribosomal RNA". It matches the Rfam family "Bacterial small subunit ribosomal RNA", at positions 524 to 776 of the family's 1533-position model. The record is from RNAcentral.
GACGGGGGGUCCUAGCGUUGUUCGGAAUCAUUGGGCGUAAAGCGUGUGUAGGUGGCGCGCUAAGUCGGGUGUGAAAUUUCGGAGCUUAACUCCGAAACUGCAUUCGAUACUGGCGUGCUUCAGGACUGGAGAGGAGACUGGAAUUUACGGUGUAGCAGUGAAAUGCGUAGAUAUCGUAAGGAAGACCAGUGGCGAAGGCGGGUCUCUGGACAGUUCCUGACACUGAGACACGAAGGCCAGGGGAGCAAACGGG